This is a long non-coding RNA of Danaus plexippus (monarch butterfly), 383 nucleotides long. RefSeq lists it as uncharacterized. The transcript has 3 exons. Lineage: Eukaryota; Metazoa; Arthropoda; Insecta; Lepidoptera; Nymphalidae. The record is from RefSeq and is a predicted model, not a curated record.
UAUACCUGUUUUUAUACAACGUGACAAGAUAUUGUGUGUAGAACUUUGCCCUUAAUGAGUUACACUGUGGGUUUUGCUAUAAAGUGUCUGCUGUAUAUAAUGGUUUUAUGUUAAUAUGUUAUAACAAUCUAGGGACCUUUUCGUGUCAUAUCUUUAGAGCCUUUAAUUAAAAUAGCAUACCAUGAAUUCACCGUGCGGGUGCCGGGUUCAUCGCGUUGCAGAGAGAGGAGCAAUAACAGUGCCUGAGACUUGUGACCCAGAACCCUAUCGUGAUGACACGAUUAUUGACCGCUGUCCAGGAGUAUCUCACAUCCCACCAGCAGAUGCUUAGCAGUCCACCUGCCUUCCCACAGGUAUAGAAAGUUUUUUGGUGCCUUUACCCC